AUUGGAUGUGAUAUAGUGACAGUGUCUAUAUGGGUAGUAGAUCUCAGUAGGUUGAUGUGUGUUAUAUUGGAUGUGAUAUAGUGACAGUGUCUAUAUGGGUAGUAAAUCUCAGUAGGUUGAUGUGUGUUAUAUUGGAUGUGAUAUAGUGACAGUGUCUAUAUGGGUAGUAGAUCUCAGUAGGUUGAUGUGUGUUAUAUUGGAUGUGAUAUAGUGACAGUGUCUAUAUGGGUAGUAAAUCUGAGUAGGUUGAUGUGUGUUAUAUUGGAUGUGAUAUAGAGAGAGUGUCUAUAUGGGUAGUAAAUCUGAGUAGGUUGAUGUGUGUUAUAUUGGAUGUGAUAUAGUGACAGUGUCUAUAUGGGUAGUAAAUCUCAGUAGGUUGAUGUGUGUUAUAUUGGAUGUGAUAUAGUGACAGUGUCUAUAUGGGUAGUAAAUCUCAGUAGGUUGAUGUGUGUUAUAUUGGAUGUGAUAUAGUGAGAGUGUCUAUAUGGGUAGUAGAUCUCAGUAGGUUGAUGUGUGUUAUAUUGGAUGUGAUAUAGUGAGAGUGUCUAUAUGGGUAGUAAAUCUCAGUAGGUUGAUGUGUGUUAUAUUGGAUGUGAUAUAGUGAGAGUGUCUAUAUGGGUAGUAGAUCUCAGUAGGUUGAUGUGUGUUAUAUUGGAUGUGAUAUAGAGAGAGUGUCUAUAUGGGUAGUAGAUCUGAGUAGGUUGAUGUGUGUUAUAUUGGAUGUGAUAUAGAGAGAGUGUCUAUAUGGGUAGUAGAUCUCAGUAGGUUGAUGUGUGUUAUAUUGGAUGUGAUAUAGUGACAGUGUCUAUAUGGGUAGUAGAUCUCAGUAGGUUGAUGUGUGUUAUAUUGGAUGUGAUAUAGUGACAGUGUCUAUAUGGGUAGUAGAUCUCAGUAGGUUGAUGUGUGUUAUAUUGGAUGUG
Molecule: long non-coding RNA, 920 nt
Organism: Oncorhynchus keta (chum salmon)
Lineage: Eukaryota; Metazoa; Chordata; Actinopteri; Salmoniformes; Salmonidae
Exons: 3
Source: RefSeq, a predicted model, not a curated record